RNAcentral lists this unclassified non-coding RNA (597 nucleotides) under Hevea brasiliensis (rubber tree). Lineage: Eukaryota; Viridiplantae; Streptophyta; Magnoliopsida; Malpighiales; Euphorbiaceae. The record is from RNAcentral.
AUUCUGCAACUUGGUCUGCAUGGAACAAAAGAAGCAAAUGAGAGACACAUCAAAUCAAUAUAUACCCUGAUUUUUCCCAAAAAUGAAGUGAUCUGCAUAAAAUAAUACAAUCUGGAUUGCAUCACAUUAAUGCAAAACUGUAAUAAUUCAAGUCCUUGAACAUUCUGUAGUAGCAUCCGAAUAUAAACACAUGCAUGAGUGCAAAACAAGGGAAAUCAAAUUCAGAGAUGACAUAUUUGCAAAAAAAUUCAGAGAUGACAGGGAACAUGAAGGCAUCACUUGUAGUUUAAAUCUCACCUGCCUACACCCUUGUCUAAAUCAAAGUCACCCAAAUUUGAGAAUGUACACAUUAACAUUCUUACAUACAAGUCUUCAAAACUAGCCUUAUUUUUCACUCUCUUUGCACUAUUCUUGAAUGUUUUUUUAACAGAAAAGGAAAGUUUCAAAAUUUCACCAGCAAAUCUUGACUUCCAUUCUAUAUUCCACCUCAGUUAUCCCCAGUGACUUCUAUCUUUACAUUUCAUCAACAUGAUCUACUGACAAAUUCAUUCUGUACAAACCAAACAUACUGUAGGUACAAUAAUAAGAGCAUAUUUA